RNAcentral lists this microRNA precursor (59 nucleotides) under Panagrellus redivivus. RNAcentral's name for it is "microRNA prd-mir-7952 precursor". Lineage: Eukaryota; Metazoa; Nematoda; Chromadorea; Rhabditida; Panagrolaimidae. The record is from miRBase by way of RNAcentral.
AGUCAUACACGGUUUAUUAAUAUUCAUGUAAUAAAUAUUAAUAAAAAGUGGAUGACUGU